Megalobrama amblycephala (Wuchang bream) is the source of this 891-nucleotide long non-coding RNA. RefSeq lists it as uncharacterized. NCBI's taxonomy places the organism in Eukaryota, Metazoa, Chordata, Actinopteri, Cypriniformes, Xenocyprididae. The transcript has 2 exons. The record is from RefSeq and is a predicted model, not a curated record.
AAUCUUUUUUGAUGGAUUCUAAGGCAUUAUUGCACUAUAUUGUAAUUGCAACCAAGAAAACCUGUUAGGUCUUUUCUGGUUUGUAAGGACUGUGUAACAUUUUCUGGCCUAUCUAAUGUCAAAAUAUAUGCACUGCUGGCAUCUAUCUUGAGUACUCUUGCACACAAACACACUUUUCCCCCUUUUCAGCUCCACUGAUUCCUCUGACAGUGCGCAUAACUACGAGAAUUCAUUACGGUUCUUGACGAAUGUGCCGUUAAAAUGCUUACAGCUGGAGCGUAGCGGCAGAGGGGAAGUGACAGAGCUCCCGGCAUCUCAGUGGCGAUAAGGGGAUUUCUGAAAUUCUAAUGGGGCCAUUACUGCAGCGACCACUCCACCCGCUGUCUCAUGCUAACAUCAACGGAUCAGCGAUUCAGCGUUUAAUUACAGCAGUGACACCACUGUCUUGCGUCUCACAACAGGGAGGAUGGGAGCAAGGGCUAUUAUGGGAGUGCACUGCAGCGCGGCGGUUGAACAUGCACUGCAUGAACAAACCCAGAGAUACACCGGCCCCGGAUAGCAGAGGCACUAACUGGACAGACAACAUUUACCUCUCUGUUGAACAGCACUUACAGCAAUACCAAGGGUCCAGUCAUUACAUCAAUUUAUGACUUCAAUGUAUGACUAAACACAACUGAAAGAGAAAGUGUGGACAAUGAGGUGAUUGCAAGCAAAGAUAAAUGGUUUCUUUGGCAGCUUUCACAGUCCCUUAAUUUACAAUUAAUUGACAAUUCAUAUUUUUAUGGAAUAUUGCAGUAUUUAUUAUAAAUGAUUUAUCCGUGCACAUUGUUACUUUUUUUUUUUUUUUAAUUCAUGUGCCCUCAUAAUCUUUAAUAAAAAUAGCUUCCCCUC